UUUACGGAUGGGACUGAAUAUGCUUAUAGAUAGCAUUUGAGGCGUGGAUAAAACAAGGUCUCAUUCUUUUACAGGGUUGGUAAAGAAUGAAGAACAGGAUUCUAUUCAUCCUACAUCAUUUGAUAGAAUUAGUGCUUUGGAGGACUGGAUCAGGAAAAGGACUUGAUCUCAGAAGACUAUGCAAACUCAGAUUGGAUGGCACUUGAUCCACCUUGUGCUAACACAAGGCUCCUAGGACCUUCCCAUGAUGAAGUUGAAGAGUUGGGUGCAGGGUUUGAUGAUUAUGAAAUUUUGAAUAGAGUGAAAGACACUGUGGAAAACAACGUGGAAGAUAAUUAGUAGAACAGCUUUCAUCUACACAUUUUAAGUACUCACACGGAUGAGUGGUUGCUUUUGCACUGUAAUCCGCUAUAGAGUAGUAGUAAUUUAUGAUUAACAUUAGAGACCAUUAUCUGAUGUAAAUGGUUUAGGAUUCCGGUAAUUGUAGAGAUGAUCACUAGGAAAACUAAACUAGAUUAUGGUGAACAACAUUUGAUAAUGACACAACUGUUGCUCAGUGUCCAUUGGUUGCAGUGUUUUCAGUACCUUUUCAAAGAAGCGUCUACGUACUAGUUAGGUGGUUUUGAUGUUCGGAAAAAUUGUGUUGUAACUGCAAAUUAGUGAAAUAAGUCUGUAUGCUAAGCAUAUUUCUGUAUAUUUCAUAUGAUAUUUGAAUAGAAUUUUUAAGUAUUUUAAGCAUUUUGAAUCAAGAGAAUUUUGAAUAAAGAAUUUUAAGCAUUUUGAA
Molecule: long non-coding RNA, 784 nt
Organism: Hevea brasiliensis (rubber tree)
Lineage: Eukaryota; Viridiplantae; Streptophyta; Magnoliopsida; Malpighiales; Euphorbiaceae
Exons: 2
Source: RefSeq, a predicted model, not a curated record